This 467-nucleotide ribosomal RNA is filed under the name uncultured bacterium. Its description in RNAcentral is "partial 16S ribosomal RNA". It matches the Rfam family "Bacterial small subunit ribosomal RNA", at positions 28 to 506 of the family's 1533-position model. The record is from RNAcentral.
GACGAACGCUGGCGGCGUGCUUAACACAUGCAAGUCGAACGGAAAGGCCCUGCUUUUGUGGGGUGCUCGAGUGGCGAACGGGUGAGUAACACGUGAGUAACCUGCCCUUGACUUUGGGAUAACUUCAGGAAACUGGGGCUAAUACCGGAUAGGAGCUCCUGCUGCAUGGUGGGGGUUGGAAAGUUUCGGCGGUUGGGGAUGGACUCGCGGCUUAUCAGCUUGUUGGUGGGGUAGUGGCUUACCAAGGCUUUGACGGGUAGCCGGCCUGAGAGGGUGACAGGCCACAUUGGGAAUGAGAAACGGCCCAGACUCAUACUGGAGGCAGCAGUGGGAAAUAAUGCACAAUGGGCGGAAGCAUGAUGCAGCAACGCCGCGUGCGGAAUGACGGCCUUCGGGUUGUAAACCGCUUUCGCCUGUGACGAAGCGUGAGUAACGGUAAUGGGUAAAAAAGCACCGGCUAACUACGU